Molecule: non-coding RNA, 3774 nt
Organism: Heterocephalus glaber (naked mole-rat)
Lineage: Eukaryota; Metazoa; Chordata; Mammalia; Rodentia; Bathyergidae
Source: RefSeq, a predicted model, not a curated record
GGGAGGGCCCUUGUGGGCGGAAUUGAGGUCACGGGGGCGUGGCCUCAACUGGGACAGCUGGACCAGCCCUUCCUGUUGCUCUGCUUCACGAGCGCCGCUGCCCUCUCCCCACCACGGCCUGUGCUGCCAGCCCCAGAGCAACAGGGCCAAGGACGGUGCAACCCUGAGGCAAAACAAGCCCUCCCUCCCGCUGAGCGGACGCUCUUAGGCUCCCUAACGAUGGAACCAUUGGCCUGGUGACCUUGCAAGCGUCUGACCUCCUCACGUCUGCCCAGGAAGCCACACAGGUCGGAUGUGAAAGCAAUUUGUUAGGGGUCGGAUCCUGUGUGGGAGAGUCACUGACCCCCUGUUCGCGGCUGUCAGGGCCGACCCAGCUGUUCCUCACCUCUCUGAGAUACUCCUGGGCCCUCACAGCAAUCCCAGAGUCCCUUCUCAGCCUGGGAUGUUCAACUGCCCCACCUGAGUGCACUUCCGCCACCAGGCCCUGGGACCAAGAGAAUCAGCCUCCGCGGAAGCAGUGGAGCAGGCGCAAGUCGAUCUGAACAGACGCACACUUUUCAGGACAUAGAUCAUGAAAGAGUCAAUAAAUCGAAACCUAUGACAAUGAAAAACUUUGCGUUGUCAAAGCUUCUAAAGAGGGCCGGGGAUUUAGCUCAGUGGUUCCACUGCCUGCCUCGAAAGCGCAAGGACCUGAGUUCGAUCCCUGGUACCAAAAGAGAAAAAUAGCUUCUAAAGAACACAGAGGCACACCACAGACAGGGAAAAGAGAUCUGCGAAACGCACAUCUGUGAAGAGCUUGUACUUAGAAUAUGUAUUUUUAAGAACGCAGACAAACUGAUAAUAAGUUAAUUGAAUUCUGAAAUGGGCAAGAGAUUUGAACAGAUACAUAAAUAAAGACAUAUUCACAGCCAGCAAGCUAUGCAAAGAAGCCCAGCACCGUCAGUCUUUAUGGCAGUGCAAACAGAAGCCACAGCAAGACCCUACUGCACUCCACAGGCAAGGCUGAGACGCUGGAAGUGAAGGGCUGAGAGCAAACGCAGGAACAGAUUUGGAGCAGUCGGACUGCCCACCUCACCCCAGAGGCCAGCGGGAGAACUGGUCCCUUUGCAAACAGGUGGGCAGUGUCUCACGUGGUCAUCCAGAGGACUGCACUGGGCCCCAGCUGUACAUGAGAAAUGGUAUCCUGUGCCUACACCAAACCUGUCCUCACGCCUCACAGUUAAGAGUUUGCAUUGAGACUCAGAGGAAACCUUGGACUUGGACUUUUCUGCAAUACCGGAACUGUUAAGACUUUGGCAACUCUUAGAGAUGGACUAAAUGCAUUCUGCAUAAUGAGAUGAACAUCAGUCUUUGGGGGUGAAAUACUAUGGUUUAGUUCUAAAAUCUUACCCAAAAGCCUCCUGGGUUGAGAGGUUGGGCCUUUGGCAGGUGAUAGGCUCAUGGGGCACUGUACUCCUCAGUGGAUUUAUCCAUUAAGGUGUGUUCAAAGCUGACUGUGCUGUGAGGAGCUGGGGCCUGGUUGGAGGUAGGUCACUAGCUGCAUGACAUACCUGGAAGGGUGUGCUCUUGGCCCUGACUCCUCUCUCUGCUUCCAGGCUGCCAUGGGUUGGCAGCUUCUCUCUGUCAUGUCCUUUCCACCAUGCCCUUUCCCAAUGAUCACAUUGACUGAAUCCUCUGAAACCAUGAGCUAAAGUAAACCCCUCCUCCUUUACAUUGCAGGUGUCAGGUAUUUUGUCCCAGCAACAGGAAGGUGACUCAUUCAGUACUUCAUAGCCACUGGGAAGAAUGCUGCUAAGAACAUGGGUGUACAGAUUGCUAUCCAAGUCUCUGCUUUCAGUUAUUCUGGGUAGAUAUCCAGGAGUGAGAUUGCUGGAUAACAUGCCAGAUAGGUUUGAUGUUUUGAGGGAUAGACAGCUGGGCUGAUUCCCACAGCGCACAUCGGACACUCCCACCAGUGGUGCUCAGUGUUCCUUCUAGUUCCCCGCAGCAUCACCAACACCCAUGGCUUCCUGGUUUUGAUGCCAGCCUUCCUGGUGGUGCCUGAGUCUUUGUGAUGUGACUUUGUGGUCUUGGCUUGCCUGCAGGUCUGGUGAAGUGGUCCAGGCUGGAGAUGUAGGUGUCCUGCCCUGCAGGUAGCUUUAUCUUGAAGGACUCUGGUUUCUUUUGGUGGGAAAUGAAAUUUUGGAACAUUGCUCAGCUCAUUACUCCUGCUUGGAUGGUGUGUCAGUCUCCUCAGUGGACAGAGGGGAGAACGCUGAUGAGCAAGCCAUGUCACAUGGAGCAGCUCCUGGAAGGGGCAGGCUCCAGAGGGAUGGGGGCACCACUCCAUGGGGAAGGUGCCAGCCAGGAGACAGCAUUGGCUGAAGAACUGAGGGACAAUGGCCUGAACUAGAGAGGAAAGUUCCAAACCAAGGCUACAAGAAGUGCAAGUUCCUAAAAAUAGGGAACUGGAGACCAAAGACCCCAUGCGUGCAGUGCCAUGAGCAAAGAGGAGAGUGACAGGAAACUGGCGGGAGGUGCUCUAGAGCCCAGGUGUCUUGUAGAUGAGUAGGGAAGGACGUUGCCUCAUGCCCUGGGUCUGUCGGGAGUCACUGGGUGUUUAGUGAUGGGGACACAAUCUUGCUUGUGGUGACUGUUAAUCAAAGUAUGUGGAUUAAGAACCACCUAGCAGAUUGGUGGAACACAGUUCUGGGCCGGUCUGCUGAUGACCGGCAAGGAGGCCAGCAAACUGAGGGCAGAAGAUCCACCCUGGAUAUGGGCAGCACCAAUCAAUAUACCCACAGUCUGGAAGGCAUAAAAAGGGAAAGAAGGGAGUGUGCCCGUUUUGAAGAGCUCCAGUCUUCCUGAGCAGGUCCAACUUUUACUGCCAUCACCCUUGGACCUCAGUCUCCAGGUCUCUGGCUUCUUCAGCCUGCAAUGCAGACUCAACCGGGCAACUCUCCAGGGAGCGCCCAGGCCCUCAGCCUUGGACUGCAGCUGCACCCUUGGUCCCUCUUGCUCUUCGGUUUCCCCUUCUUGGGCUGAGCAGCUGCUGGAUCCUUGGCCCUCCAGGGUGCAGAUGGCCACUGUGGAUGCUGCCUCUCACCCUGGAAGCUGAUCUAAUUAAUCCCCUCACAUAAUACUCACAUAUUCUCUCUCAGCUCUGCUCCUCUAGAGAACCCUAAAGAGCAGAGUUCCUCCACCACUCCGUGUGCGCCGUCUGUGGGGAGUGAGGCAGGAGGUGAGUCACCCUGCAGGGAGGACGCACUAAGGAGAUGCAUCAAAGCCAGGGUGGAUCCCCACAGCACCCCUGGCAGGCAGCUGCUGCCCUCCAGGUCACGGUAGGGACUGGGUCUAGGGGCUGGGGUGCAGGAGUGAAGAAGUACUCUGCCACAGCACACAUCUGCUGUGUCCUCUGUGGGAGAUCUCACUUCCGGCUCAAAACCAGUAGCCCCCUUACUGGGACUCAGUGUGCCCAGACACCUCCUGGGGUCACUGCACAUGACCUCUCUUUGUUCUUCCUAGGUCCUCAGGCGGAGACUUACUGGUUCUCUACAGAUUGGGGCACUGAGGCCCAGACAUGCUGCUCCAGGCUGGCUGCAGAGGAGGCAAUGGAAACAGCCUUGGCUCAAAAGUGGACACCGAAUUCGAAGUUUAAAAAGUAUCCAGGAUGGCCGCUGCUGUGGACGCAUAUGAGACAGGAGGAAGAAGCUGUACAGACUCGGGCUGGGUAAGCAGAGACUGGGAAGGCCUAGUGGACCACGGAGGACAGCAGGGCAGCCCCUGGGGAGGGAG